RNAcentral lists this ribosomal RNA (776 nucleotides) under Parallelostrombidium obesum. RNAcentral's name for it is "partial large subunit ribosomal RNA". It matches the Rfam family "Eukaryotic large subunit ribosomal RNA", at positions 92 to 857 of the family's 3401-position model. Lineage: Eukaryota; Ciliophora; Spirotrichea; Strombidiidae. The record is from RNAcentral.
AUUGAAGUGGACAAAGCCCAAGAUGGAAAUCUUCGUGUUUUGCACGACGAAUUGUAAUCUAGAGAGUCAGAACUCAACGGAUGGUGGUGCAGAAGUGCCCUGGAACGGGCCGCCAAAGAGGGUGACAGCCCCGUCUGUGGUGCCGCUAUCUAACGAGUUUGGCUUCAAAGAGUCGGGUUGUUUUGUAUUGCAGCCCUAAGUGGGAGAUAAACUUCUUCUAAGGCUAAAUAUAUGUGGAAAACCGAUAGCGAACAAGUACUGUGAAGGAAAGAUGAAAAGCACUUUGAAAAGAGAGUUAAAAGACCUGAAACCGUUGAGGAGGAAGCGGUAGAGAUGAAUUCUACGGUAAGGCAUGGGGAAAAUAGCUUAACUAUGGCGGGUGAAAGUACGUCAAAGGCAAUCAUUUGUCCAAGGGGAAGCUAUUGACUUAUGUGGUAUCGUGAGGCAAGAUGGAGUGAUAUUUCUGCAGAGGCCUUGUAGGUUUGGCUUGACUUGUCAGGCAGCCUGUGAGUGCCGGUAGAGAUAUGGCUUGAGGGUGCUUUGUGCGAUCUUGUCAAAAUGGUCUUUACCGACUCGUCUUGAAACACGAGCCAAGGAGUCUAACGUACAUGCGAGUAUGCUGGUUCAAAAACCAACAUGCGUAAUGAAAGUAAAAGAUGCCAAGCGCAAGCAGCAGCAUCGACCGACCAUGAUUCUCUGAUGAAAGGUUUGUGUAAGAGCAUGUCCGCUAGGACCCGAAAGAUGGUGAACUAUGCCUGCGUAGGGUGAAGCCAGGG